GGUGUCAUAGCUCAAGUAGUAGAGCAACUACCUAACAAGCAGAGGUGUCUGGCCUCAAAUCCUAGUAUCACCA
RNAcentral lists this transfer RNA (73 nucleotides) under Dipodomys ordii (Ord's kangaroo rat). It matches the Rfam family "tRNA". Rfam says of the family: Transfer RNA (tRNA) molecules are approximately 80 nucleotides in length. Their secondary structure includes four short double-helical elements and three loops (D, anti-codon, and T loops). Lineage: Eukaryota; Metazoa; Chordata; Mammalia; Rodentia; Heteromyidae. The record is from Rfam by way of RNAcentral.